RNAcentral lists this ribosomal RNA (464 nucleotides) under uncultured bacterium. Its description in RNAcentral is "partial 16S ribosomal RNA". It matches the Rfam family "Bacterial small subunit ribosomal RNA", at positions 28 to 506 of the family's 1533-position model. The record is from RNAcentral.
GACGAACGCUGGCGGCGUGCUUAACACAUGCAAGUCGAACGGUAAGGCUCCAGCUUGCUGGGGUACACGAGUGGCGAACGGGUGAGUAACACGUGGGUGACCUGCCCUGCACUUCGGGAUAAGCCUGGGAAACUGGGUCUAAUACCGGAUAGGACCGCACCGUGAGGGUGUGGUGGAAAGUUUUUUCGGUGUGGGAUGGGCCCGCGGCCUAUCAGCUUGUUGGUGGGGUAAUGGCCUACCAAGGCGGCGACGGGUAGCCGGCCGGGGAGGGUGGACGGCCAAAUAGGAAUGAGAGCAGGCCCGGGCCUCCUGCGGGGGGGAGGAGGGGGGAAGGUAGCAAAAAGGGGGGGAGCCAGAUGGAGGGACCCCGGGUGGGGGAAGGGGGCCUUCGGGUUGGAAACCCCUUCCCCCUACAAGGGAGGGUUUUGAAGGGAAGUGAGGAAAAAAGCCCCGGCAACCAAGGG